This 30962-nucleotide long non-coding RNA is filed under the name Capsella rubella. RNAcentral describes it as "long non-coding RNA (CRUB_LNC003183)". Lineage: Eukaryota; Viridiplantae; Streptophyta; Magnoliopsida; Brassicales; Brassicaceae. The record is from RNAcentral.
CAUAGCAUAACUCAACUAGUAAAAGACUUAGCAAGAUUGUUGUAAGGACAGAUCUUGAACUCAUCUUCUAGUUUAGUUUAGUUUUCUGGAUCUUGAGACGAAGAAGAACGUGAUUUAGAUUUUUUUUUUUUUUUUUUUGGUUGGGAAAUUAAAUAAAUAGCUUUGUCUAGUUGCCUGACAUGGACAUAGUGACUUUUUUGAGUUUUCCAACAAGGAUCGAAAUGUGGAUAUUCCAAAAAAAAAAAGAAAACAGAAAUUUAGUUAUUUCAUAUUUUUAUUCAACAUUAGAUAAUUAAGGUCGAUUAGAAAUCCAAAACCUAUACUCGAUCCGAUGAUUGUUUUAUAUAAUCAUAUUUUUUUUUAAAAGAUGAUCAAGGUCAUUUAGACCCGUUUUUAUUAUGGAUUAUUUCAUUACGGUCUAUAAUAAAUUGGAUAUGGACGGACCAUGUACAACACACCCAUUUUGACAGUUCUAAUCAGUAAUCACAACCUAUUUUUAGUUUUUGAUCUCUGUUUGUUGUUUGUUGGAGAUAAUGAAAACACUAUUAAACUCAAAAAUCAAAAAUAAGGUAGAUGUUUUUGUGCUGAAUGGUAACAUCUAUCUUAUGUUCAUUGUGGUUUUUGUUUGUUGUUACAAAGAUAAAAAUACAUUCGAAACUUUUUUGGGGUCAAAGUCACAAAAAAUUUGUUUGGGGUCAAACUCACAAAGUAGUACAAAUUAUUACGACAAUUAAAGUGGAUAUAAAGUCUAAUCUUAUUAUAUAAAGUUAGGUUUUCAAAGUUAGUCAUUAAUUAAGAAGAACGUAACAUGUGUUAAUUGAAUUGAUAAGAUGUUGAUAUAUGUCAGAUAAUUAAUGGUAAAAAAAUAAUAUAAAUAAUUUUUUAAAAAUAAUAUUUUUAAAACAGAAAGAAACAAUAAAAAGUCAGAAAAUUUAACAAGUACUUAAUAAUAAUCCUAAAGGAAAAAAGAUAGUAAUUAUAAAAUGAAAUUAUUAAUAAAAAUUAGGUCUAAGGAAUUAAGAAACUAACACACAAAAAAAGAAAAAAAUUACAAUAAGUUAGUCAACUAUAAGUUAAUCUUAGGAAAUACAGUAAUUAAAUUAUUAAAUUAGUUUUUAGUUAUGUCGGUUUGGGUUUAUCACAUAGAUUAGAGUUUAAUAUUCACAAUCAAACGAGAUUAUAUAACGAUUUUAGUUUAUAAAGAAUAUAUUAAGUCAGCGUAUAUUUGUAUGAUUAAAACUAUUUAAUUCAAAGAAAAAAAAAACAAAUAACUUCAAAAUAACAAAGGUAAAAACCUUAAAAAGGUUCACAACUGAAAUAGACAAAACAGUAAAAAAAAAAAACAAAAAAACAAACAAACUUUAAAGAUAAAUUCAUACCAAACUUAGAACAUAAUACCAACUAGGAGUCUAGAAAUGAUUAUUAUUCAAAUUCAGCCAAUCCCUAUUGAUAUCAAACAUCGCCAUAUUAGUUGUUUCAUUACGAGGUGGCUCUUGGCGAACAUCAUCGUUGGUCAUUGUAGCGUUGUUGUUCCCUUCCUCUUGUAUUUCCAUCUCAUGACUCAUGAAAUCAAAAGAGUAUUGUUCUCUUUGAUUCAUAUCCAUUAUUGGAUUAUCAUUCAUGUUAUGAUGUUGUAAUGGUUGAGCAGUAGACUCACCCAAACCAAAGAAAGACAUCACUUCAGGACAAAAGAGCUCCAUCUCCAAAUUAGGGUUUCCAUUGCUACUGCUUCCUUUGUAUGGACAGUAACUUCGUUGAUAACCUAAAGGCUCAAGUGGUUUGGGAUCGAGAACCCAUUGAUCUAUUAAGUAGUGAUUUUUAGUCUCCCUUGUAGUUGCUACAACAUCAUGCUUUGUGGGGAUCAUCAGCUGCUCGACUUGCACCUCAAAUGGAAGCAUUGGUGGAUCACGAAGAGGAGAGAACUGCAUGAAACCUAGCUCAUUCCUAAAAUGUAUAAUUUUCUCUUUUGAGAAAGAUAGUAAUGCAUAGAUCUCACUUAAGUUAAGAUCACUUAUCGCACGACCGUUUUGUAAAUGCAUCAUUAACUCAUCAAUGACAUACUCUUUAUUCUUUUUAUCACUCUCCAUCAACUUCUUAUGAACGGUCUUCGUCUUCUCCUUUAGAAAUGAUUCGAUACUCGUCUCUUUAUUCUUCUGCGCAAGCUCCGGUAAGGCAAAGAAAUCGUCUAAGAGGCCACGAGCCUUCUCAACUGAUGGCCACACCACUGGACCAACUUCAUUAGGACUGAAAAUGAUUAGACAAGCUUGUAUAUCACACAAUAUGGUUAGCUCUUUCACCUUUUUGAGUAAUGCUUCUCUCCUUUGCUUUAAACUUUUUGCUCUUGCCUUGUCAUUCUCAACCCAUGCAAGUUUUACAUUCUUUCUUGGCAUGGUUGCUAUAUGACUUUAAUCUCUCUUGUUGUUAUAGUUUUUUUUGUUGGGAUAUGAUGAAGAGGACAUGCAAAUUCAUUUAAAUAGACUUGAAAUUAGGAGAUAAGAUUUCAGAAACUAAUACUAGUCAAAGAUGUAAAAUUAAUUACUAUUUACUAUUAUGUGGAAUGUUUUUAAGUUGCUUAAUAAUAUUUAAUUCAAAGACCAAUUAAAUUUUUUACCAAAUUAUGUUGGAUUUGGUUUGGUUUUACAUUGAAUGAUUUGUUAAAAUAUCUAUGUGGUUAUGUUAUUAUAUAAAAUUUAACUAUUUACACAUCAAAAUUAAAUUUCUUGCCAAUUUUUUUGGUCAUAGUCAAUACAUUGAAUUAAUGUUAUAACUCAUUGUGUUGUCAUAAUUUAAUGCUAGUCAAUAAUUAUUAUUCAUCAUAUCAUAUGGUAUUGAUUGAAAGUUAUUUUUGAAACUUAAUGAUAACUAUACAUUUCCUUCAAUAAGCAUCUUUAAAAAAUAAUCAUUCAAACUAAAAGAUAAAUUAUAACUUUUACCAUAUUUCUACAAACUUUUGACUGUACAUCAAAUCUUAUAUUAAGAUUAUAAAAUAACAUUAAAUUUGGGAAGAUUUUGAAAACAAUAUUAAUUUCAAAUAAAGAGAAUAAUAUAUUUUAAGAUAAUAAAAAUAUCGAAAUAAAUAAAAUCAAUUCUUAUCCUACAUAAAUUGUCUACAACCACAAAUGACAAAUCUAUUAAGCUUAUCAUAAAUAACAUCUUCUAAACUUGACUGCUUUAUUUUGUGGGCUAUAUAGAAUUAUUUGGUCAAGUCACAUAUCAUUUAAGGUUCGUCAUUAUCUUUUCAAUCCUGACUAGAAUCAGGCUUCUCUUGAAAAAAGGUAAGGAGUUAUUCUCACUUAUUAGAUUAGUAUUAGCCGCCUAUCCCGGAAUGAAAUCAGAUCACUUCGUUGCUUUCCCGCGCGCAAAGCGAAUGGGCGCUGUGCUGUGGCCUGUGGGUCAGUUUCGGGGUGGGGGCGCAGAGAUACCAGAAGAAAUGAUUCAUUACAAGUAUACUAACCACUCUCGCUUGCUACCGAAUGGCAGUCCGUUUCGGAUGCGAUUGCGAUUCAAGUGUGGGAGCGAUGCGAUUAGUUAGAAUUGUGAAUGGAAAUCCGAUUCGGGUGCGAUGUGGUUACAUCGUAUUGUUGAAUGGCAAAGCGAUUAGGAUGUGCUUUGAGUGUGAUUAGAAUACAAUAUUACCAAAUUAACCUUUAGUUAUAUUAUUUUUGUAUUUUCAAUUUUCUUUCACAUUUAGUAUAAUUUAUAGUAUAUGACUAAUAAUAAUAUAUAAACAUUUCUUAACUUAAAUUUAUAUACUAAUAAUAUAUGCAAACCAACAUCCAUUCUAAACAUAAAAUUGUAAUAUAUGAUAACAAAUAGAGAAUAUUAUAUAUUAUGCCAAGUACAGUGAUUAUUUUUGUAUGGACUGCCAAUUUUUUUAUGGGCUUCUCCCCCCUGCCACAGCCCAUAGAUAGAAAGACAUGUUUGUCCUUCUCUUUAAUUAACCUAGCAAAAUCAGACAUAAAGUCAUUAUUUCUCAAAAGCGUAACUUUCAACCUUUUCUCUCUUACCCAUCAGAUUUUCAGCAACAACAACGAAGUAUUAUCAAAUGGAUAAACAACUCACCCUUUCUAUUUUUUUUUGUUAAAUAAGUUCUCCAACUCCUUUCUAUCACCGAUGCAAUUUUUUUUUCCUAACCUAAUGGCUGACCAGAAUAUUUUCACCGUCACCACCGUUGAAGACACCGUUCCCGACAGCGGAACAACCACUGGCAACACAGUAGUGAACCCGCAAAGCCGCUGGAACCAUUGAUUCCGGCCAAAGGAAAUCUCUGUCAAUGUAAGUUUUUACGGACCAGAUCUAUACCAAAUUUUGUCCAUGAGUUUUUCUUGUCCAUCGUAAGUCUUCCUCUAACAUUCAUUUUACAGAUUGUCCAUCGGAUCUACAGAACAAAACUAUUCAUCAGUUAGUCCAAUAGACAACCCUACUCAGCCCAUGUAAACUAUGAGAUAGACCAUUUAUAUUUUUGUGGGAUACCAUUCGUCCUUUCCAUUUUUAUUUAUUGAUAGACAAAUUUUGUUCUUUAGGAUCUCUGUAGACAACAUAACAUAUGACACCAGCGAUGGACAACCGUAAGAGGAUAUUAAAAAUCUUGUUUAUCCUGUGGAUCUAACCAAAAAUCUGGAUGUUCUCCUUUUUCAACCUUCUUCCCUUCUUCAAAUUAUCUUUAUCAUUUUGUCUAUAGUAAGUCGUCCUCUAACAUGUUUUACAAAUGGUCUAUCAGAUAUACAAAACAAGUCUGUCAAUCAGUUAGUCCAGUAAACAACCCUCCUCAGCCCAUGUAAACUAUGAGAUGGACCAUUUAUAUUUUUGUUGAAUGCUCUACCAUUCGUCCUUUCCAUUUUCUAUUUAUUGAUGGACAAAAUUUGUUAUUUAGGAUCUCUGUAGACAACAUAGCAGAUGACACUUGUGAUGGACAAUCGUAUGAAGAGAUCAAAAUCUUGUUUAUCUCGUGGGCUUAACCGAAAAUCUAAUUGUUGUCCUUCUUCGACCCUUCUCCCAUUAUUCAAAUUUUCUCUGUUAUUUUGUCUUCCAUAAAUCCAUCUGGAUUUCAUAUGUUGUUUUACUUUUUAACUACCCAUUAAGUUAAUAUCUGUUGGAUAAUAGCCUUCAUCCUUUGUAUUAAAUAAUGCAGAGAAUAUUUCAUCUGACAACUUUUUUUCAUUUAUGUGCUAACAUUGAGAGAGGAUAUUUAUGUCAUUUUACCUACCUAAUAUGGCAUUGCAGAAAAUGCUUUGGAGAAAAUGGCAUUUUUAAUUUUUUGAGUUUCAAAAAUGGCACCGAGAACAAAAUUCCCUAACAAAUAUGUCUUUACAUCAAAAUGAGAUUUUAAAAUCCAAAACCUGUUUUACAUGUAAAUAAGAUCUAUUUAAGAAAAAAAAAAUGUUAUUAAUAAUGAUGACAUCCCUUUCUGCUAGUUGCAUUCCCAAAAGCGAUUCCCAAGCUUUAAACCUAUACAUGAGUAGCAAACAUAAACUUAUUAUCAUCUAGUGCAAGUAUACAGAUUAAGAAAUACCAUCUUUUCCAUCUCCUUAACACAAGCAGCAGAACUAUACGUAUAAAAACUUUCUCUGCCUCCCAUAAAAAAUCUUCCCUGGUCCUCGAUAAGAUCUAAGACUCGAUCCCACUGAUCUUCCCUUGAGUGAUUUCGAGAUGAUUUAGGUUGCUUUGACUUGACCUUUUACCAUUUUUCUGAGGUUGCUCAGAAUUUUGAGCUAUAGGAGAGGUGUUGUUAAGCUCAAUAUCUUCAACAGAAUCUGCUUCGAAAGGCAAAUGACUUGCUCCAUCAUGGUGUUGCCAUCCAUCAUCACCUACUGAAAUUGACUCCUCACAAAAAAAAGUUGUUCAAUGAGCGGAAUAUCUCGAAUAGGAUAGUUACGAAGAGUUUUUGCUUCAGGUUUUUCCUCUAAUGGAGAAAGACAAACAUAAACAAUAGUCUGAAACAGAUUAUACAAAUGAGUUUACUUUACUUAAUAGAAUUUAUAGAAUAUACAUUGAUUAAGUCCCCUUUCCUUUUCUCUUUUACACAAAUUUCUAAGUGUCCACGAGCCAGAUUAGGUGGCCAUUUAAAUCUUUUACUCUCAAUAGAUGGAUCAUCUGUUUGUUCUGAUCUAUGUUGCUUUGUCAUCCUCUUAGAUUCCUAAAACAUAUAAAACAACAUAAUUAGAAUCAAGAGGCACAAAGUUUGAAGCUUUUAGAGUUCAAUAAGUAAAUAAAGACAUAGCAACAUACCGAAAUCUCUUAGAUUACUAAACUAGAUUACUCCUCAACGUUUUCAAAAACCAUAGAAAAACCACCAAAUGAUCAUGUUGAAAACCCAUCUAGAAUCACAGUUUAACAUCUUAAGAUACAAAACUUAUCUAAAAGUCUAAAACCAAAGAGAAAUACCAACUUAUCAUGUUGAGAAACCAGUGUUGAAAAACUCAGCUAGAAUCACAGUUAUAUGUUCUUGUGCCACUUCCCUUAGAGAGAGAGAGAGAGAGAGAGAGAGAGAGAGAGAGGACCUGGUGAAAGGGAGGCCGAGGCUGGCCAGCGCAGAGGUGUAACAAAGUCCUAGCGACGGUUGUAAAUCAAUCAUAGGCUUCACCGGCCAACAUGUAUCCGUUGAUCCUUAGUCAAGGAUUCAUGUACGUAUUAAUUCUAAACAUAAACACUUUCACAAUUUUCUAACAAUGGGAGCAAAAGCAAAAAAUCUCUUAACAUCUGGUCGAUGCAAUGGUGGGAUCAAAGAGGUUGAUGAGGACAAAGGUUGUAACGAUUAAAGCAUUGCAAAAAACUAAAACAAAUGUAACUAAUUGCAAAAUGGAGAAACCGUCACAGUCGGCUUGGAUUACAAGAGAUUCCGAAGGUGUUUUCCUAUGUGAAGGAAACAGUAAAGGAAGCUUGUGUUCUUCAAUGCUGGAAUCAGAACUUCAAAGUUUGUUGAUAGCAAUGCAACAUAUGUGGAUAAGGGGUUAGAAAAAAGUGAUCUUUGAAAGAGAUAAUACAACAAUAUGCUCAAACUUGUUCUAUGUGCUAAACUAAGUUUUACUCUUCACAAAUAGCAUCAAAGAAAUUAACUAGCACUGGGUCUUUGUUUAAUUUUGGAUAUUUCGGUUUGGUUAUUUCGGAUUUUUUUUUUGGUUUUUUUGAGUUUUGAAAAUUUUGCCGAAUUAACCAAAAUAAAUUUUGUUUUUUGGUUAUUUUGGUUUACAAUUUUUAAAUUCAAAAUUAACCAAAAUUUAGUUUUUUAAAAAAAACUAAAUUUCAGUUAUAUAAGGAUAAUUUUGGGGUUUUCUGUUUUGUUUUGGUUAUUUUGGAUUUGGUUAUUAUGGGUAGUUUGGUUAUAUUAGAGAUAAAUUUAGGUUAUGUAUCAAAAAUUAAAUAAAAAAAUUCGGUUAAUCAAUAACAGAACCAAAAUAUUUCGGCUUUCAAUUUAUUUUUCCUGCUGAUCGGUUUAGACCUAAUAAAUGAAGCCAAACCGAACACUCAGAAUUUUGGUUUGCCUCGGUUUGAUUUUUUUUUAUCCCAGGGCUAAAAUUAACUAUUGGGGGCAUGACUUCACUAAAAGGUAAAAUGCCUAUGGACAAGAAGAUACAAAGAAGCUAUUAAAAAAGAAAGAACGCCUAUGAUAGUUUUCCAAAAUUCCUUGCUUAUUGUGUUCGAGGUACCCGUUUUCAGUUGGGUUUAAUCUUCGCGGUGGCCUCUAUCCUUGGAUCUCUUUCAUUUCCGUUUGUAGGUCCUCUUGACAUCGACUCUUGAGUUCGUAGUCAUGCGUCUCAUGUUUUCUUCCGACUUCUCCAAUGAUUUUGAAAGUUUGUCUUUUGGCUUUAGUUGUUCUACUUUGUGUUUUCCGUGUAUUGGGCUUAAGCUUUCGGGGAUAUUUCUGUUUUCCGCUGGCUUUAAGAUUUCAAAAUUGUAUUCCACCCUUGUUUUUCAUCGUUGUGUUAUAUAAUAAAAAAAUUUCAGCGGAAAAAAAAAAAAAGUUUUCCAAAAUUCCAUUAAAUGACCUAAACUCUUACUUUAUUAAUUUUUCACCCCACGGCGGCUUAGCUUCGCUUCUUCACACGAGCCUUUGCCAUUUUUCGAGUUUUGAAUUCAAAGCAGAGAAACCCCAAAGCACUCAAUCUUCUCACAAUCUCUGCGAUUCCCAUCUCCGACUCCGAAUAAUCGGAAAAUCAAAAAUCGAGGUUUCACGGCGAAGAAAAUGGGGAAGAACGAGAAGACGUCUUUAGGACGAGCCCUAGUGAAGCACCAUAACCAUAUGAUCCAAGAAACAAAGGAAAAAGGCAAGUCGUACAAGGAUCAACACAAGAAGGUUUUGGAAUCUGUUACGGAGGUCAGUGACAUCGAUGCUAUCAUCGAACAAGCCGAGGAAGCUGAACGGCUCUACGCGAUUCAUCACGAUUCCGCAACCCCUGUGCCUAUCAAUAUGUGAGUUUCUCGAUUCGUUUUGUAUAAUUGAUCGGUUCUUCAAUCUUGUGAGCUCUGUAUUUGAUUUAUCUGAAUGUGUUUUAUGCUCUUAAUCUGAAGAAUUGGCUUAGAGCUUUGUGUAUUGAUUGUGGAGAUGCCUAAAUUGGUGAUUACUGUUUGUGUUCUUUGAGAUUUGCUUUGUGUUGGUGCUUCUGAAUCUGAAGAAGCUUCUUUGUAUUGAGUCAUUUCUCUCAUGAGAUAAUUGUUCUUUGUGUGUAAAUAGGGACAUAGGUUCGAGUUCAAGUGGUAUAACAGCUAAAGAAUGGAAAGAGCAACGGAUGAGAGAAGAGGCUUUACAUGCUAGUAGCCUUCAAGUGCCACGAAGGUGUGUGGUUUGUAUCCAUCUCUUCUGCUUCUUCUUUAGUUUUUGUUCAGGAGCUAUAUAAAGUCUCCUUUAGUGUAAUAUUCUUUCUUUUUGACUAUAUUUAGACCUCACUGGACACCUAAAAUGCAUGUGGAGCAACUUGAUGCUAAUGAAAAACAAGCUUUUCUCACUUGGCGCCGGAAACUUGCAAGGUUGGUUCUGUUUGACCUCGUUCUUCUUCUUGCUAGUGUUGGCAAUAAACAGGAUAAAUAUAUGUCACUAGAAGGCUUUUUGCUGUUCGUGGAAUUGAGGGUUGCUUAUAUGCAAGUGCUCGAACAGUUACACAGUUUCGACAAAGUCAAAUCGUUUUUGUCAGUGGUCUUGUACAAUACUACAAUACUUAUCUAUGAUGUGGGAACAAUUAAUGAAAAGUUGAGGAGAAUUUAUACUUGAAUCAGUGCUCAUAAGCUACCAACAAUAUUUACUCUUGUAUUUGCCAAGUGUUGCUUGCUACAAACUGCAAGAUUUUGGUUAUCACUUAAGUCACCUAAUUGCAUUAGUAUCGAUUUUGUUUUGUUAAAUGAUGGCUCUGAGGUUUCGAGUUGAUAUAUUUAUCUAACAUUAGCACUUGAAGAAGCUGAACUACUUUAACAACACAUAUGUAAGCUCAUUGUGUGUUCAAGAUAACCAUUUUUUUAUGUGUUUAAAGGAAAGUUGGGAAGAGUUUGGGAUAUGGUACCAGAACAGUCAAAUUAAUUUUGCUUUUGCUGAUUAAAAAAAUAUCCAUUUCGCAUCUUGAAGCAUGUUAUAGUCUACUCAAGAUAUUAUUUUGCUGCUAUUUUAGAUGUAUGGUUUGAUUGCAUGUGCAAAUUACGUUGGGACUUAGUACUCUAUACUUAUGCAUGCCCACCUACUUGUUCUCCUGUAUUCAGCCUCGAGGAAAAUGAAAAGCUUGUGUUGACUCCAUUCGAGAAGAACCUUGACAUCUGGAGACAGCUUUGGCGAGUGCUUGAACGAAGUGAUUUGGUAUGUCAUUUUUUCCAGGAUACUUUUUUCCGUCUCUCUCAUUUACCUGGAUUACGUUAAAUGUAAAAUCUCAUUGGGUAUAUGUACUUCUCUUUCAGAUUGUUAUGGUUGUUGAUGCUAGAGAUCCUCUUUUUUAUCGGUGCCCUGAUCUUGAGGUAACUCUAUCUCUGCCAACUCGAAGUUUUCUCUUAGUAGAAUUUUCCUGAUCAUACCAAAAAUUUAUGUAAAGAAUUUUUCUGACGCAGGCAUAUGCACAAGAAAUUGAUGAGCAUAAAAAAACAAUGCUUCUGGUAAACAAGGCGGAUCUUUUACCUACUUAUGUCAGGUAAAAUUCUGCCUUGCUUCUUUGCCUCUUAACUUAUUUUUGUUUUUCGCUUACCAAUUGGGUUGUACAUAUUGUAUACGCAGGGAGAAAUGGGCUGAAUACUUUUCCCGCAACAAUAUUUUGUUUGUAUUCUGGUCAGCCAAAGCUGCUACGGCUACCCUAGAAGGUAAACCCCUGAAAGAACAGUGGGGAGCACCUCAUACCUCUCAGAAGACAGAUGACCCAGCUGUUAAAGUAUAUGGAAGGGACGAGCUAUUGGCUCGAUUAAAACUUGAGGCUCAAGAGAUAGUAAAAAUGAGGAAAUCUAGAGGAGUUUCCGCAACUUCUGCUGAAUCGCACCGUGAACAAGUUGUGGUUGGUUUUGUUGGGUACCCCAAUGUGGGAAAGAGUUCGACAAUCAACGCUUUGGUUGGUCAGAAGCGAACAGGUGUCACAUCUACCCCGGGAAAAACAAAGCAUUUCCAGACAUUGAUUAUCUCUGAAGAGCUAAUGCUCUGCGAUUGCCCUGGUUUAGUCUUCCCUUCAUUCUCAAGCUCAAGAUAUGAAAUGAUUGCUUCUGGAGUUCUUCCAAUAGACCGGAUGACCGAGCACCGUGAAGCCAUUAAGGUUGUGGCCGAACGUGUUCCUCGGAAUGCGAUUGAGGAUGUGUACAACAUCUCUCUACCUAAACCCAAAACCUAUGAGCCUCAGUCCCGCCCACCACUUGCCUCAGAGCUUCUAAGAACGUACUGCCUCUCUCGUGGUUACGUCGCCUCUAGUGGACUACCUGAUGAAACCAAAGCAGCUAGACAGAUUCUGAAAGAUUACAUUGAAGGUAAGCUUCCACAUUUCGCAAUGCCUCCAGAGAUGACCCGAGAAGAUGAAAACGAAACAGCAGAUGAUACUUUGGGAGCCGAAAUAGUUAAAGGUUCACAGCCUGUGGAGAAAAGUGAAGAAGCACCUAGUCUUGGUCUUGAACAAGUUCUAGAUGAUCUGAGCUCAUUUGAUCUAGCAAAUGGACUUGGGCCAUCAAAGAAGACACAGAACAAGAAGUCACAUAGGAAAAAUUGAUUCGGUUUUUGAUGGAAAUCGUGCUGAGAAGUUCCUAGAAACCGACAAACAAUCACGAUACAUUGAUCGACAAAUGCUGAAACAUAUGAUACAUUUGUGAAAUUUUCUUAUGUAGAAAUUGUGAAAAUGUUCUAACAACUGUUGGCUAUAGAUGUUAUGUCUGUGGCAAAUACGAGAGUGAUGCUAGUCGAUAUAUCGAUGAAGAAUCCUUUGAAGCAGGUUCUGUAGUUGUAAACUUGUAAUAUAUGUUCUCUUUGACAUAUGAUCUGAUCACUCACAAGACUCACUCAUACGCAAAAGCAGUUCAAUCGGGUAACUUAAACUCCAGUAUUGGAAUACACAAAGUUCUAUUGUGUUUUUCGAUUUGAGAAUCUAAACUUUUUCUAAACCUUUUUAUUCUCCAGCAUCACACUUGUACCUAAAUCAAUGCACAUGCAAUGUUCAGAACAAUUUUGAUAUUGCAUUGUCUGCUAUAUUUUCCAUAGCUAUGGACUUUGGAGGAUUCCAAUAAAUGAGAGAGCAAAGAAACUUUAAAGAGUAAUGAAAUCAACACUGUCUAAGCUUUGAUACUUACGCCAUGCAAAUUUGACCAAAAAUAAAAUAAAAUUUAUGAACAUAAAAAAUGCUUGAAACUACAAAAAUGUGAUUUUUCUUUUUCAUGAACAUAAAAAUGUUUGAAACUACAAUCAUAAAUUUAGAUUGAUAAAUAUUUAUGGUACCAAGAUAUAUAUAAGUCGUAAUAACUAUUAUGGCGGUUUGUACGAAAAUAAAAUCUGACUUGAUGUCAUUCUGUUGUAGUCUUGUAGAUGACAUUUAUUGACAUCCUCAUGGCAUCAUGACAUUGCGAAAAUGAUUAUUGUUUUAUUUAUUUAUUCUAUUCCAAUUUUAUACUUUAUAUAUCUCUAGAAAUGAUUUCUUUUUAAAGAGUUUUUACACAUGUUAAAAAUAUUAAUAUUUAUUAUCCAACUUUCCAUAAUUUUAAUCAAGAGUAGUUCAAUAAAUUUAAAAUUGAGAAAUUCCUCUAAGUACCAUCAAAUAUAGUUUUGAUUCCUAAUCUACCACACACUACUUAUUUUUCCACUAAUACCAUUAUUUAUUAACUAAAAAGACUAUUAUAACCCUCUUAUAAACUCAAGAUUAGAGACGCUUUUGCAAUCUCGUUCUCCAUCUCUCUACCGUCUUUAUCGUCAUGCUCAGACGGUGAGUUCUUAUUGUCUCCGAUGAGAGUACUCUGUCUAUCUACGACGUUGCUCAUCUUCGUCUUCCUCCGACGUCGUGAAACUGAUUUGACAAUUAGAAGCGUUUCACUUCCAUCGACAGCAAUCUCGUCAUUCACCAAUCCUCCACCAGAUCUGAGGGUUUGUAAAGCCUCGAUUCUGAUGAAUCUGUCGAGUUCGAGGUCGAGAUCAACAACAAUGGUCUUUCCAAAGCCAUCAACGUGUCUAGACCCGCGACGCAACCAUCAACAGUGGUGGUUCAUUUGGUAGUCGCGGCACGGAAGAAGGUUUGUGGACAUGAGUCGAUGGUGCUUGAGACCAAUUCGUCCCUAGGCUCGACAUGCUCUUCAAUUCCUUUGAGCAAUUAACCUCGAUGAUAAUAUAGCAAAUUUGCAAGUCAAAUUUUCUCUAAUAGAAUUGGUGACAAGGUAUUCUCUAUGCUCUAACUGCUUGAUUAGACCAAUUGUUUGCUUAAUCGAAUAAUUUUACUUGCUAUCAUUCUAAACCUCUACACAUUUUUUUUUUGUCUAGGAGUGUAUUAUGUGUUUUUGAAUUGUUUAGCUAAUGACACACAUCAAUCUGAUAGUGUUUUAUCUGGGGUUUCAAGGUUAAUUAGUUUCGUAGUGUUGCAGAACUAGUUUACAUAUGGGAUGCUAAAUAAGAUAUCACUUGAAGCAAUGUUAAAAAGAAACUUAACUAUAUUAAUAGUGUUAAUAAUGCAGUCACUCCAAUCUCUUCUCACGAGUUACCAAUCCAUUCACAUGUUUGGGAGAGAUUCUGUGUUUAUAUCUAUAUGUGCUCCCAAUGAAAAUCGGUAAAUAGGAAAAUUCUAGCAAUGGUUUUACUUGAUGAUAAAAUAUACAAAUGCUUUUUGCAAUAUUCGUGGUUGUUAGUAUAGAUUAUGGAAUCUGAAUAUAGGACUUGGAAAUAUCUUUGUGCUUUUGUGUUUCUCCCCUAGAUAUUGAAUUAGAAGGAGACGUAUGGCUAUAACACUUAUAUAGUCUUAACGAGUUAGGAAAGUAUCCCUAAACUUUUCAUUACCUAAAUGUGUUUUUGUUUAUAGGAGUUUCAUCGACAAAGGGGAAGUGAGAUCUCAGUUCGAUUAUAUCUUCAACUGCUGAAAAAGGGGUUCCUCAAUUUCUUCUUGAUCCGGUUCUAUAGGCUGUUCACAUUACACUCAAGUGACCUAUGAUAUACAUGGUGCAUAUAUUUUAGGAGUUGAUGAUAAAGAUAAGAAAAUACUUGACUUUAAGUUUGAAUUCAGGUUAUUGUGGAAGACCUCUCUAAAAUUCAAGAACUCCUUCCUAAAAGUUAUAGAAUUCUUCCUAAUUUUAAGGAAAUGUGUUUUUAAAUCUCUAUAUCUAUGGUUUGCAUCUAUGUUUUACUACAUUAGUAAGAGAUAAUGAUUUGAUUCUGUGCACACCAUGGUGUUCUAUUACAUAGGUAAAAAAUAAGAAUAUCCAACUUGGUGUUUUAGGAUAGUUUUCCUAAAUGUCGAUGAUUCCUCCCUAAAUUUCAAGGAUUCCUUCUUGAAUUUCAAGGAAUCCUUCAUAAAUUUUUAUGAACGUCAUGUAAUCCUUCCCAAAUCCAAAGAAAUAUGUGUUUAAUUCUUUAUAUUUUGCCUCAAUGUCUCACAUAUCAAUCCAUCAGUGAGAGGUAAUGAUUCAAUUUGUGCACAUCCUCGUGUUUAAGAAAAUCCAAUUUUAUUAUGAAGCCCAUCAUGAAGUUUAAAGAGUCCUUCCUAAGUUAUUCAUAAACUUUUUACGAAUCCCUAAAUCUGUUUAGGAAGGCUGUCCUAAAUUUUACAAUGUCUUCCUAAACUUCAUGAAUGUCUUCCUAAACUUAAUGAAUGUCUUCCUAAACUUAAUGAAUGUCUUCAGAAUCUUGAAUAAGUGUUAUUACCGAAAGAUUUAGACUUUAAUAGUCUCGAGUAGGGAAUAAAGUUAAGACUGUUCUUCCUCCAUUAGCAUUGGCAGAUUCCAAAUCCUCAGCGUAAUUACCAACUGGACUAUGCAAUGAUGGUGUUGGCAUUCUGUGAAUUGGUUACUGCUGUUGUUGCUGAGUUUGCCUCGCCAAGAACGAAGGAUCGAACUUCCCAUGCGUCGGUGAUCCAAACCCAUUACUCGUCGGCGAUCCAAACCCAUUACUUGUCGGUGAUCCAAACCCAUUACUCGUCGGCUAUCCAAAUUGCCCAUUACUCGUCGGUGAGUGGAAUCCCCCAUUCGUCGGCGAGCCAAUAUGAGCGGCUGCGAUUUGUCGGUGGUAGAACUGAGGCGGUUGUAAAUGAGGAUUAGCAGCUGCAGCCAUUUGUUGUUGCUGUUGAAGAGUAGCAACGAGAACAAAAGACGGCAUGAAAUUAUCAGAGCUUGGAACUCGAUUCGGAUGAAGAAAAUGAGCAGAAGCCGGAGAGCUAGCAAAGAGACGAUCUAUGGCCGGAUCUGAACCAGCUCCACCACCAGAAGACAAACCCUGCAUUCUCUUAAGAUAAAGCCUAUAAUUUUGCAAAUGAUUGGCAACGUUUUCUCUGGUUAACCCAUCAACACUCAUAAGCUGCAUAAUGGUUUGGGGAACUUCGUUCUUAAUCCCUAAAUGCGCGACCGCAUCAACGAAACGCUUAUGCAGCUGCGGCGUCCAAACGAGACAUGGUCGUUUCAAAGUUCGAGCAGGUUCGUCUCCGGCAGCUCCAGAGCCUAGAUCUGCAGAAUCUGAAGAGUCUAUGGCGUGAUGAGGAGGAGGCGACACGAGGUGAGGCUAGGUGAGGAGGAGAGGUGAGACAAAGAAAACGUGACGAAUGUUAUAAUUGGAAAUUGUUGGAGCGUGUGUUAUUUGUGGCAUAAAAACAUUAAAUGAUGCUAUCUAUGAGAAUCUCCCUUUAAAAUUUUUCAUUAAUAUAUUUACAACUUUACAAUUCGUUAUUAGAGAAAAUAUAAGAAAUCUAUAUUUAUGAAACAUAAAAGAAGAGAUACAUUACUUAUUUUCAAAGCCGUCUAUUACCACUAGUUGGUUGAGGAUUUCGUGAAGCUCAUCUUCAAGGUUGUAUCCGCUAUGAUUCCAAAAGAUUUUUCAAUCACUACAAAUCUCUCAAAGUUUAGCAUCUCUUUAGAGAACUCAUAGAACCCUUAUCUUUAUUUAAGUUGUAUUAUCUUUAUUUCCGAUUGUAUGAACCUCUCUCUUUUGAGGCUUUGAAUGGAAACUCUUGUUUGUUUAAAAAGAAAUAGAUAUCUUUCUAGUGGAAAUGGAGAGAGCAAAUUGUAUCAUACAUAUUGGGAGCCAUAUUGAUCAAUGAGUUUCAUAUAAUGUUUAUCGUCAAUUCCAAAUUUCAGAUCGGAUAAUUCUGGUUUCAGCUUAAUCGUCAAAGAAAACAUACCUACUAAACUAUAAAUUGGUAACCAUAUCGCUUUGUUUAAGUAUCAUUCAGUUUCAGAUUGUUUUAUUUAAACCCAAAUUUCUAUUAUUACAAACUAUUUGAUAACUAUAUUGAUGUGUUUCGGUUCAUAUAUACCAUGUUUAACACAAUUUCUUAGCUACUACUAAAAUUCUAGGCUUUUAACCAAAAAAAAAAAAUUAUUGUAUAAUAUUUGCAAUAGAUAAUAUUUAAAAUCGUCUAUAUAGUUUUAAGAGUAAAUUUAUUAGCAAAAUGUGCUACACAUAUUUGAUAUACAUACAUACAAAACCCAUCAUUAAUAAUGACUACACUAUGUUAUAAGCUGAGGCUACUCACACUACACACAAAAGUAAAUUUGGAUUUGGUUCCAUGUGUAUUGUUUGUAUCAACAUAAAUGAUCAAACUGUUCCUUAGUACAAAACUAUAAAUGGCUUCAAUUCGUUAAAACAGUUGACAAAUAUAAGUCUUUUUAAUUUCCUCAAAUAAAUAGUUUUGGUUUUAUUUUAGUAAGUACUAGUAAAAACUAAAAACAUAAUGCUUAAAUUUAAUAUUAAAUUUAAGUAAUUAAUUUAAUGACGACAAAAACAAAAGUGAUUAAUAUAAAAUUAAAUUUCAGUGAUUAAAAUUUAAUUCACUUGAAGAGAGAAACAGUAAAUAAAUAAAAUUAAAUAAAAAUAACAAAAGGGCAGGUUUUGUUUGUUUGGGCGUUGAGUUCGUCUUCUCUCUCUCGUAAACCAAAAAAAAAAAACACAUUUUUCAAAUUCUCUGAAUCUUUUACUCCGAUUAACUUUUUCCGGGAGGAUCUCACCGGAGAAAGCAAAGUUAGGGUUUUUUUUCUUCUUCACAAAAGUGAAGAUUUUUGGAAAACGAGAACUUUAAUUAAGAGAAAGAUGUGUUGCGAAUUUUAGCUUGGAUCUUUUUUUUCCCUUAAUUUAAAGCUUUUUAGGGUUGUGAAAAAAAUGGAUUUGGAUUCGUCUAUGGUAUCAGAGAACGAUCAAGAUCCUGUUACUACGACGGCUUCAUCGUCACCUAUGGAGAAAGAAGCGUCUGAGCAAUCAACGGAGGAAACUGGAUCCGAAUCCGAAUCGGCGUCUUUGACUCCUUCGUCUCCGUCGUCACAGGGAGGAGGACAACAACAACAACAGGUAACGCCGGUGGUUGGGCCGAGAUGUGCGCCGACGUAUUCGGUUGUGAAUGCUGUUAUUGAGAAGAAAGAGGAUGGUCCUGGUCCUAGAUGUGGUCAUACGUUGACGGCGGUUCCGGCUGUUGGUGAGGAAGGGACGUCUUGUUAUAUUGGACCUAGACUGAUCUUGUUUGGUGGUGCUACGGCUCUUGAGGGUAAUUCAGGAGGAACAGGGACGCCUACUUCAGCGGGAAGUGCUGGCAUUAGUAUGUUUUUUUCGAUUUCUCUCGGUUACUUUAGUGUUCUAAUAAAGCUAUUUGCUUGUGAGGGUGAAGCUGUUUUCUCAGCAUUUGUAGUAUCGAUGGGAAAAAUCAUUCCUUAAUGUUAGAUUUGUAUUAGUUCUAUUCUUGAAGUGUUGUUUUGGCUUGUUGGUUUUAGACUUGCAAUGCUGUAUUUUGAUGUUUGGAAGAAUGUUUGUUAUGCAGGACUUGCUGGUGCAACUGCUGAUGUCCAUUGUUAUGAUGUUCUUACUAAUAAGUGGUCGAGGUGAGUAUAAGAUAUGAAUUGUGUUGUCUGUAUCUUGGACAGUUAAUUUGUAUCCUUAUAAGACAAAAUGUAUGAGAUCUAGUCAUUUUUAGUAAGUGUGGAGUUUAAUAUGAUGGAAUAAUGCUUCAGACUUACACCAUAUGGAGAACCACCUAGCCCAAGAGCUGCACACGUUGCUACUGCUGUUGGGACCAUGGUAGUUAUUCAGGUAGGGGAGAAAUUAUCUCUUGUAGUUUAGCAAAGUUAUCAUUUAUGGUCAGCAAUUUGAACCUGCUAUUGAAUUGUUUCUGUGGUGCACAGGGUGGAAUAGGUCCUGCUGGUUUAUCAGCUGAGGACCUUCACGUUCUUGACCUCACUCAGCAACGGCCACGAUGGCACAGGUUAGAAUAGAUAUCUGCUCUUUAUGGCGAGCUCAGUUUGAAAUUCAUUAUGCUAGUUUGUCGCUUGAUUUAGAAUAUCUUUAUAUAGGGUUGUUGUUCAGGGUCCUGGACCAGGUCCGCGUUAUGGACAUGUUAUGGCACUGGUAGGACAGAGGUAUCUCAUGGCAAUUGGUGGAAAUGAUGGUAAGCAGUUUUACUCGCUUCCUCAUUAAAGUGUAUUUAUAUUAUCCUUAAAUAGCUCUUUUUCUCUUAUCAUUAAAUUACCAGGAAAACGUCCAUUAGCGGAUGUAUGGGCUUUGGACACUGCUGCCAAACCUUACGAAUGGCGUAAGCUGGAACCAGAAGGGGAAGGUCCACCUCCAUGCAUGUAAUUUAGCUUCCUUGGCUUCAUUAGUUUGAUGUAAUCUUGGUUCUCUUAAGUGAUUUGGAUCUCUUGGGUUUGUACGUUAUAACUAGGUAUGCAACUGCAAGUGCACGGUCUGAUGGCCUUCUUCUUCUCUGUGGAGGAAGAGAUGCGAAUAGUGUGGUAAGCCUAAGAGUUUCUGCUUCCAUGUUAAUCCCCUGUUUGAAAAUAGACAGUUGUUGUACAUUAAGUAAUUAAAUUUGUCACCUGGAGGGAAUCCAAAUGCAAUAUUGCUCUCCGCUACCAUUAUAUCAAUUCUGCAGUGAGGUGACAGGGAAUAGCUUCUCUUUGUAAAUUAAUUCAAAUAAGAGUUCAAGUAGAAUAUUAUUUACCAUGCUUUCAUAAAAGUGGGAAUUAGAGUUUAGGAGGUUCUUUGUCUGUCUUGAUCUUAAAUGUUUUAUUGCCAUACUUAAUAUGUCUUUUCGUACCUUUGCAUGAUAGCCCUUAGCAAGUGCAUAUGGACUUGCCAAGCACAGAGAUGGACGUUGGGAAUGGGCCAUAGCCCCUGGUGUUUCACCUUCUCCCAGAUACCAGCAUGCAGCAGUAUGAAACACUUCUUUUCCUUUAUUUUCUUCUCUUAUGUAGUUCCAUCAGAAAAACUAACCUUUUGUGGUAUUUUAGGUCUUUGUAAACGCCAGACUCCAUGUCUCUGGUGGGGCACUUGGUGGUGGACGCAUGGUAGAAGACUCUUCCAGUGUUGCAGGUUAGCAAAAGGAAAGAAAUAAUCUUAUGUUUGUGUUGUUUUGGAGUUUUCAAUGAGCUAAUACAUAUGAUUUUUUCUUAUACAUGCAAUAAUUAAACCAAUGAAAUAUGUUGUUUUCUAUAGAACUUUAGGUUAUUUUAAUCGAUGGAUUGUGACUGAAGCAUAUUGUUCCUAAAGGCAUGGUUAUACACUUAUAGUCAUCCUUUCUCUUAGCUGUAUCAUUAUUCCCAAUGGACUCUAGAAGCCAAAUUUGAUUUGAGUUUUGUCCAAAACAGACCAAACAGAGAUUUUGUUAAAAAUGGUUCACUCAUCUAUUGUAGAAAGGGCUACAAAAUUAUAUUCAUAAUAAAUAGUACAUCUAUUCCUCUAAGCUUCUCUGACUGGUUCAUGUUUUCCCUUUGUUCAGUGUUGGAUACUGCAGCAGGUGUAUGGUGUGAUACAAAAUCGGUUGUUACUAGUCCUAGAACUGGUAGGUAUAGUGCUGACGCACCUGGUGGUGAUGCUUCUGUUGAGUUAACUAGGCGUUGCAGGCAUGCUGCUGCUGCAGUGGGUGAUUUGAUAUUUAUCUAUGGUGGUUUGCGUGGAGGUAACGGAAAAAAGCUUGACAAAUUUUAUACCUUUUUACAUAUUUGACCAGGAAAAUGAACCAUUCUUACAGCAUCUGAGACCCAAAUAAUUAUGUAAAAUUGGUAUAAUAUUUCAUCGAGUUGCCAAUGUAUGGUAAUGUAGAAUUUAGUAGUUUGAUCUUUUUUUUUUAAGUCUGGGACUUUGUAUUAUCAACAUUAGUUAGUUUGAACAUCCUGUUAUUUGGUGAUGUUGCUCUCCUUUUCCUUCUCCUGUAGACCCAUGCAUCUAGUUACAAAUUAUAGCUGCAAAACUUAACAGUAUUCUGGCUGUUCUGUAGGAGUGUUACUUGAUGACCUAUUGGUUGCUGAAGAUCUUGCUGCUGCGGAAACAACAUCUGCUGCCUCUCAUGCUGCUGCGGCUGCUGCAGCAACAAACUCACAACCUGGCCGUUCACCUGGAAGAUAUGGAUUUUCUGAUGAAAGGACUGGAGAGCCACCGGAAUCAGCUCCUGAUGCCGUGGUGCUGGGAAGUCCUGUUGCACCCCCUGUAAAUGGUGAUAUGUAUACGGAUAUAAGCACUGAAAAUGCAUUAGUUCCAGGAACUCGGUUAGUGUCUUACUUGGGGAUGUAUCAUAUUGUUACCGAACCUGUGAAUUUUUUCUUGAAAAAUAUUUAUCAAACAACAUUGUAGGAGAACAAGCAAGGGUGUAGAGUAUCUCGUUGAAGCAUCUGCUGCGGAAGCCGAGGCUAUCAGUGCAACUUUAGCUGCUGCGAAGGCACGACAGGUCAACGGUGAAGUUGAACUACCGGAUAGGGAUCGUGGUGCUGAGGCUACACCCAGUGGAAAAGCUUCAUUAUCAUUAAUUAAGCCUGAUUCUGCAGUACCCAACAGUGUUAUUCCUGCGGGGGUUCGACUUCAUCAUAGAGCUGUGAGUCAAUCUAACUUAUCAAAUAAAAUCAGACACUUCGCAACAUAUUUCGUCCUUAUGUAAUAGUGGCGUACUUCUCUAAUUUCUUAUUUUGACUUCACAUUUAUUUUGGAACUUUGUAAGGUGGUGGUUGCUGCAGAAACAGGUGGAGCCUUAGGUGGAAUGGUUAGACAGUUAUCCAUUGAUCAAUUUGAAAAUGAGGGACGCCGUGUUAGCUAUGGGACACCUGAAAGUGCUACAGCAGCAAGGAAAUUAUUGGAUCGGCAGAUGUCAAUCAAUAGUGUUCCGAAAAAGGUAGAGAGUUUUGCUCUCCAAAUGAAUUGCUUCCAGAAAGCUUUAUGUUCAUGAAUGUGGAUUUAGAAUAACAAUUAUACAUUUGUUACAUUUUCCUACGGAAGAUUGUUUGCUUGAACUGUUGUAGAUAAUUUUUCUUGCUGGUCUGAUAGGAAUAAGAAGUGUUGUUAGAUACUGUAGGUAUGUUACCACUUGGUUUAAUAGGAUUGUAAACUUUUUUGGGUAUUGUUCAACAGUAUGAGGUGCCGAGUUGACAUUCAAUAGUUUCUAAUGAAGUUACAACUCUAUUUCAUUAGGUUGUAGCUCAUCUUUUGAAACCUCGAGGGUGGAAGCCUCCAGUUCGACGCCAGUUUUUCUUGGAUUGCAAUGAAAUAGCUGAUCUUUGCGACAGUGCAGAACGUAUCUUCUCGAGUGAACCUACUGUGUUACAGCUUAGAGCCCCUAUUAAGAUAUUUGGUGAUUUGCAUGGUCAGUUUGGGGAUCUCAUGCGCCUUUUUGAUGAAUAUGGUUCACCCUCAACAGCUGGAGACAUAUCGUAAGUGUGCAGCUAAAUCUCUCAAUGCUAUAUGAUUUUUACUUUCGAUAUUGCUAUCGUUGGUCUGACUUGCUGAGUGUGUACAAUGGUUUUCAGAUAUAUCGAUUACCUCUUCUUAGGGGAUUAUGUUGAUCGGGGUCAACACAGCCUAGAGACAAUUACACUUCUGCUUGCAUUAAAGGUAGUACUAGAGCAUCAUAUUAGUGUUUUCUAUUCAGGUAUUAUAAACGCUUGAUAGGAAAGAGUAUAACGUCCAAUGGUUGACACUGCAGGUUGAAUACCAACAUAACGUACAUCUAAUUCGUGGAAACCAUGAAGCUGCCGAUAUUAAUGCCCUUUUUGGUUUCCGGAUAGAGUGUAUUGAGCGGAUGGUAGUGUCUCAACGCUGUGAAUCUCUUGUUUUCACUUUUUGGUUCUCAUGUCGUGGCUACUUUGCAGGGUGAACGUGAUGGGAUCUGGGUGUGGCACCGGAUAAACCGUUUAUUCAAUUGGCUACCUCUGGCUGCACUGAUUGAAAAGAAAAUAAUCUGUAUGCAUGGGGGAAUUGGUCGGUCGAUAAAUCAUGUGGAGCAGAUUGAAAAUAUACAACGUCCGAUUACAAUGGAAGCAGGCUCUAUCGUGCUUAUGGAUUUACUAUGGUAAAGUCCAUGUCUAAUGCUAUAUCAUUAAUCAUUCUACUUUUUUUUCUUGACCCUUGUCUAACCAGUAUGUCAUUUUGCAAUCUGUUAGGUCCGAUCCAACUGAAAAUGACAGUGUCGAAGGUUUAAGGCCCAAUGCUAGAGGUCCUGGAUUGGUUACUUUCGGGGUGAGUGGUCUCCUCCUCUAAUUCAUACAUUUUGAUUGAUUACAUACUCUCUUUCCCUUCCCUCCUCUCUUCAUAUUCUUUACAUACGUUUGUUGUUCAUUCCUUUCCUCGUCAUUUUAAGUUUCUGACGUGUGGAGAAGGGUACUUGUUUUGGUUGACCCUUACGACUCUAGACUUGUUCAUGAGCUUGUUAGACAGUACUGAACAAUAUACUUCUAGUUCGCUUCAAUUUCUAUAUCAAGACAAUGAUACUGAAUAAUAUAAUUCUAAUUCGCAUCUGCUGGUUCUGUUACUGACAAAGAUUUUGGUGAUUGCAGCCUGACCGUGUCAUGGAGUUCUGCAACAACAAUGAUCUUCAAUUGAUUGUACGAGCGCAUGAAUGUGUGAUGGACGGAUUUGAGCGUUUCGCUCAGGGGCAUUUGAUCACGCUCUUUUCGGCGACAAACUAUUGUGGUAUGUCUAUGGAACCAAACACUCUCUAGUAAGCCGCCAAAAAAAGCCUGAAUCUUACAAAAUCAUAUCAUGUUCCUUUUCAGGUACUGCAAACAAUGCUGGGGCUAUCUUGGUGUUGGGGAGAGAUCUUGUUGUGGUUCCUAAGCUUAUCCAUCCAUUGCCUCCAGCAAUUACCUCACCUGAAACUUCGCCAGAAAGACAUAUAGAGGACACAUGGAUGCAGGUUUUUAUCUCUCAGACAGAGACUAUUCCUUCUUUUUCCUACCUGGAAAAUGGCAUAACCGAGCAUUUAUAUAUUGCAGGAGUUAAACGCAAAUCGACCACCAACACCAACAAGAGGACGCCCACAAAAUCCAAAUGACCGCGGUUCUCUUGCUUGGAUAUAACCCCCCCAGAGAAAGAGAGACGCAUGAGAGAGUACAUACUUCUCCCGAUAGCCGCCUCUUGGUGAUCCUCAUGUUGCGUACAGAUCCAACCAAACCGUUCUUGAUCCACAAUGUGCUAUUUUACCGACGAGAUGGAUCAGAUCACAUUGAGAAUCGACGAGGGGUCUGAGAUUUUGGGGAAUUUCACAGGUCAGAUGAUGAAAGAGUAAAGAAGUCAGGUCGGUGGUGAGUACUAGAGUACUGAGUAGUGGUGUGAGGAAGAGUAUUUGUUGGGUAUAAGGUUUUUUUUGUCAUAAUUAUAUGAUUUCUUCGUAGUAUUGAUUAAUUAUUAUAUAUGUGGUAUUGGUCUUUUGGCGAGAUACACCACACGAGUGAGUAGAAGGUGAGGAGUCUUAGAGGUGUAUUAGUUUUGGGGUAUUCUAUGUAGCAUAUAGAGAGAGGUGUUUGAGAGUUUGUGUAAUUUCUCCAUUCAUAUUUUUCAUUAUGUAAUUUGUAACCACCGUUUUGUGUGUGUUUAUGUUACCAAAAAUUCUCUCCCAUUUUUUCUAUCAUAUUCCAAAGUUUUCUUCUUUCUUUCUAAUCUCCGGUCAUUUCGACCAUCUUUGGUUAUCCUUAGGCCACCAUCUACUUGGCAGCUCAGUUUAUACGAAGAGUUGUGGAAUUGAACAUCUUUGAAUAAACAGAGUUUAUAUAACCGUAUAUUCUUGGACUCAUGUUUCUCAAUAGUUCCUCGAAAACCUCUAUAUCAUUGGAUUUGAUUCAUAGGCUCCAAUUCUUCAUUGCGAAGUCGAUGGCUUACAUUGGCACCAAAAUCUCCCGGAUCAUUGUUUGGUAUGGAAGUGUUCAACUCAGUUCCAUUCCCUUUACCACCAUUUAGAAGUACCUUGGGAAUGAUGGGCACAUGCCUAUGAUACCCUAUGGAAGUGUUCCACUUAGUUUUGUUCCCUACCCUAUGGACAUUCACCUAUCAAGCCAUUCAAAAUAUAGAUGGAAUUUGUGUAUUCAUUUUAGCUACUCUCACAGCCAACUUCAAAAAUAAAAUAUGAACUUAAAGAACUAAGCUCAUAACUAAUGGAUUUGUAGCUUUAUCAUUGGGACAGUAAGAGAUUAAAACAUAUAUAGGUUUGCUGAACAAAAGAUUAAAAAGCCAAAUACAAGAGAUGUGGGAGAUUAGUUGGGGCUUUUGGGCACACACACACACACACACAUACAUUCAUAAAAACACAACUAAAAGGGAACAUGGAUCUCAUGGUUGAUCUCAUCUCCAUUUACACCUAUCUGUUCAAGCAUUCGUUGUUACGCCAUCGUGAUCACCGUUUUGAUCAACAUCUCCAUAACAAUACUCACUAAAACCUGACUGUAGAAACCAUACUAGACCUAGUUUCUUUAUAUUACUAUAGUCAUUUACAUUUUUUCUUAUCAAACCCCUAUACUUAAAUCAUCUCCUCUCUAUCUAUCUUACACACAUCCAUUUUUCGAAACCAUCCAAAGGCCAAGGCUAUACACAAAAUAUACAUAAGCAACAAGCUGAAAACAAUAUCAUCCCUAUUAAUUAGUUCUUAAUCCAUGAUUUGAUAAGCUGAAGAGGGAUAUAUCCCCGAGAUCUCAGUUCCUUGACUUGUCGAUCCAAACUGAAUGUUGUUAAAGGUUUGGUCACAAGAAUGAGGCAGGCCAAGAGAAAGGGAGACACCAUUUCCAACCAUUGUGUGAUAGUUUUCAAACCCUCCAUGGAAAUGGAUGAAGUUAUCUUGAUUCAUGUGAUGCUUCUUGAACCUCCCUAUGCUGUAACUUGAUGAUGAAUUUUGCAUAGGGGUUUCAUUUUCAUUGAAUCUUUGAUAAAAGACGGGUAGGAUCGAGUUGGAGGAUUCAUCUGAAGUAGUAUUAUUGUAAGGUUGCUUAGAAGAUGAAGCCUUGGUACUGUUUUCAUUCGGGUUAUUUCCUUUUUUGCUUUCUUCAAUAUCCAUUUCUUCCAUAUACAAUUCCUCCACCAUUGGCUUCCACACUCGAACUCGAGCAUUUAUGAACCAAUUUGACACCUACAUCCAUUUUAUACAAAGUUUCAUAAAUAUUACCAUUCCUCAAGAAGAUAUAAUUAGUAACUUUACAAAAUUACAUUUGAUUUUGUUUUAGAAGGUUUUCAUAAAUAUAUAUAUGCACUAUACAAUCAUCACCAUUCUUAUUAAGAUAAUUAUAAUUAAAAAUAGAAACAUCAGUUUGAAAAUGUAUAUAUGACCAUCAUCUAUCUAAUAAUAUUACAAAAUUGUUUCAAUUUUAAGAAUUCUUGGGAAACAAAAUAAAUUUUGCUAGAGAUUUUCGUUUUUAGCUUAAGUUUUAGGCUCGAGCCUUUGAUAGAUGAUGUUAUGAAAAUUGUAUAUGUACUAUGGGACAUUUAACAUUAACAAAAAUUCAUUAUGUUAAUAAACUUCUCAUUUACCUGACUCUUAGUAAGUCCAGUCUGUUUAGCAAGCAUUACCUUAUCCAAAUCCCUUGGAUAUCUACACAAACCAAAACAAGACACAACUAGUUAAUCAGCAUGCACGUCUACACAAAACUAACUCUAUAAUCGAUACUAAAAUUGAAGAUAGAAGUAAACGUUACUUACGGAUGAAGAAAAUGCUCAAAGAGCCAAGAACGUAGUACGGAAACAGCUUUUUCGGGCAAACCUCUUUGCGGUCUCCAAGCAUUUGUAUGGCGAUCUGCCAUCUUCUCCAACUGCUUAAGCUUCUCAUCAUCACAUUCUUUUUUUCCCAACAGCUUGUUUAUGUGUUUGAUUUGCAAACAUAUCAUGUCUUUUACGACACGGAACUUCUUUGAUAUUGUUUGUAACGCCAUAUUUGUGUAUGCGUUCGCUGAGCCUAAACCCGCGGCUUGCUCAAACGAUGAGAUUAUAGUCUGCAUUUGGUCUUGGUAUUGCUUGUAUCUCUGUUCAACCUGUGUAAUUUACAUAAAUCAUAUCCCAAAUCAAAUAUUUGAAAACCUUUACCGAUCAACAAAACAUACUUAAAUUUAGAUCUUUUAUUUUUGUUGUCACGGCUUAAAAUGUACAUAUAUAUGAUUUUUCCCCCUUUCUCAUGUAAGAGGUUAGUUUAUUUAACGAGCUACUAAAUCUGUUUUUGAUUUCUUCCCCCAAGGCCCUAUGCUUUGUACCAAUCUUUGAUGCCUAAAAACUCGGAAACAUUUUAAACACAAUAGCCACACUAAACCAUUUUAUCAUACAGUUUUUAUACAUACAAUUUUCUUACAUUGGUUUAUGCAACACAUAUAUAUCUAGGUGGUAUAAAUGAGUUACCUUUUCAACCAUGGAGAUGAGCUUUGCUUUCUUUAUCUCCAACUCUUGGCGAUAGCCAGCCACGCCGGGCUUAUGGCCACCAAGGAUGCCCCCAUUUCCAUAAAUCCCGGACUCUUUACUCAUUGGUUGCUUCUGUUUCGCGCCAUGGCUACCGUUUCCAAGAUUUACAAUCUCAUUCAGCAGUUCUUGAGCAGCCCUCAAGUAGAUAGGAGCCAAAGCCUUAAAGACUAACUCUUGGUUUGAAAACGUAGAGAUAGAAGAGUUUCCUUGUUCUAAAUGAUCUACUUCAUCUCGCGGUCCAUGUUGUUGAGACACAAAACACAAGUUGUAGAAGUGAUGGUUAUGACCAUUAGUGGUUGUUGUCGGCUCGGUGAAUGGAUUCAAAUUCAUCAUAAAAAGAUCAGAAGAGGGUUGAUCUCUCAUAUCAGAUUCUCCAUUGAAGAAAGAAGCCAUAUUAUUCUGACAAAACAUAUAAAGUUCAAGAACAAUCUCAAACUAUAUUAUAAAACUGAUAUGACAUUAUAUCUCCAAGAGCAUAGGAAAGAAAAGGUAAGCAAAAAGAUUAUGAAAUUAAGAAAAUAUAAUUUACCAUUUUUAAAUAUAAUUAGAAAUGAUGAUGAGCAGCAAAUUAUGGUUGUGAGUUUCUCAUUGUCUUCUUCAACGUGUCUUUCUCUCUGCUUGCGAUGAUCGAUCAUCUAAGACUGUCCUCUGCUUCAAUGAUCUGUCAUCAACAAGAAAGUCCAAUAAGUCUCCUUUAUAAAUAAAAAUGUGAUUGGACUUUUCAGGAAUGUGAAAUAUAUAUAUACUUUCUUCUUUUAAUCUCAUUGGACAACUAAACAGUGACACUCACGAUUGUUUGUUUUCUUGUUAUAUGUUCUCAAGUUCAAAGUUUCUAUUACAAAGAUGAUUUUAUCUUAGGCAUAAACAAUUCACACAAUCACACCCAAGAGUUUAUGCAAAAAUAUAACCAUAAUAGUUUUAGUAGCUUACUAACAUGUUUUUUUUUCCUUUUAUAUAAUAACUCACAAAUGUUUUUAGUAAUUUAUACUACCUUGUAUAUAUCGAAAUCAAUUGUUAAAACAUGACUUAUAAAUGAUAUUUCCUCCGUUUCACAAAGAGUGUCAUUUUGACACAUGUCACACAAAUUAAGAAAAUAUUAAUAUAUACAUAUAUGUUCCUAUUUAAUAAGUGAAUUAUGAGUUUAAUAAGUUUUAGAUUAAGCGUAAAAUUAUUAAAUCUAGUGUAAAAGAUGCAUUGGAAAUGUAGAAUGACACUUUUUGUGUAACAAAAUUAAAACUCUAAAAUUACACUAUUUGUGAAACAGAUGAAGUAAUUAUAAAAUACUAGACUUUUUUUUUUAAUGCAAAACGCAAAAAUGUGUAAAUUUGUAUACAUGUAUCACCAAUGAACUUGAACUUGAACCACUUUAUAUGGGAGUCAUGGGGCACACAAAUAUGUUACUGAAAUCAAAUUUGUAGGUUUUUAUUGACUAAUAUAUCUAACCACUCCAAUUCUUAAAAAGUCGAUCAUAUUUUGCCAUAAGCAUUCACAUCACAUUAUCUUGUUUAAUCUCCAAAAUAUAGAUCUACCAAAUACAAUCUAAGUAUAAUAAGUGUAGCUACCAUAUGUACGCACGUUUAAUAUAUGGCAGCGCAUGUAAAUGAUCUACAUGAAUGGCUUAUUAGGUCAACAUUAUUUACUACUUAUAUUAUAUAGUAUUAAUGUUAUAAAUCUACAACGAAUCUAUGUAUAAGUAAAUAUAUUUGAGAAAAGACAAAUAGACAAAUAGAGGUGGGUCAGCAGAACCAUGGAGAUAGUUGAAGAACGAGGAAACGUCUACUUCCACUCCACACAUCAAAAGUCUACUUUAUAAUCUUUAAAUUAUAAAUAAGCAUAUUAGAAGAGUUUAAAAGAAGUUUUGCGAUGGGAAUAUAAAAUUUUAUAAUUUUUUAUAUUUAAAAAGAAGUAUUUUUGAAAAUAAAUACAUAAAAACGAUAUUUUUGAAAAUGGUACACUAAAAAAUAUAUUUCUCGAAAAUUUUCAUAAAGUUCUAUCGGUUUAAUGUUAGAAAAUUUAUGAUAAGACUAAUUGUUUAUUAUUAUUAUUUUUAAAAAUUGAACUGAAAGAAAACUAUUUAGUGGAAGCUCCCUUAAUUUAGUGGUUGACGAAGGGUUGUUUAAAGCUUCUACACCAAAAGGUCUGGGGUUCGACAUCCAGGUAAUGCGAUUUAUUUAAUUUGCAGAUUAAGGAGAUAAGCUUACAGGAGAUCUAUAACAAUGCAUAAUUAGAGCCGUUUGCCGUGAUUCUACGCAUGGAGAAGGAGGUGUCGUCAGGAAAGGGUGUAAUCUGUGGUGAAUCUAAAAGGGUCGGACAGAAUUGCCGGUAGUAGAAUCGUCAUUGUAACAAUUCUCAUAAUUUGCAAUAAAUAAUAAAUCAAGAGUUAAAACAAAAAAAAAAAACUAUUUAUGUUGUUAAUUAGGAGGUAGUAGAUCGAUGAGAUCAAGAUGUUACUGAUUACAAACUCUUUUGUAAUGAGAUUUCUGACUGAAUACAAUUUUACAUUCAUUAUUGGAAAGAAGGAUAUUCAAUAUACUUUAUAGAAUUUUGGUGCAUAUAUAUUGUAAGUCGUUUUGUUCUUUAAUUUCAAAACCAACGGUUGAUGAUAGUUGUGGAUCGAUGGUCCACACAAAAAAUAGCACCUAAACCUCAACUUUGGACACGAUAACAUUGAAAACACAUCAUGUUGAUUAUUAAGGAGGUGACUUGGAGAUUCCACUAAGAUAUUGAAAAAAGUUGGGUUAGCAUGAAUUAACCUAAAGCCAUGCAUGUUAGAAUCAGAGAUUGACAAGUGUAUUGUUUACUUUGUCAAAACCAUCAUAACUGAUCAACGACCAUCAUUAAAAAUGCUAAGAGUGAGUUAUAAAGCUAAUUAGUUAAAGCUUAGCUUGCUAAAAGCCACUAUAGAGCAACGUAAAAUAUAAAGUGAAAAAAUAAAGCUAAUUGAUUAUCAUGCAACUUCUAAUCUUAGAUAGCCAUUAUGGAAACAAUUUAUUACUUUUUCAUUUUUAUAAGAAACUUUUUCUUAUUGACUUAGUGUUGCUUAAUGAUGUUUAGGAGAUUGAUGAACAUGAUAGAAUUUUUUUUAGUAAAUUUCCAAUAUAAACCAAAAUAAAGAUUGUAUAAUAACAAAACACACAAAGGGAAACAGACUUGUACACUUGUUCAAUAUAAGAUAAAAGAUAAUAAGGUUUUUUUAUAUCAACAAUAAGAGCAUGAUAGUUGAAGUCUACUUCUACUUCACACAUCAAAAGUCUACUUUUUUCUUUCUAUUUUAAAAAUAAAUAAGCAUAUUAGUUUGCGACAAGUGAUCACUCUUUUCUUUUCUUUUCUUUUUUACAUGUAAACGACUAACUGUAUUGCAAUGCAAAAUACAUAUAUAAAAAAAAGUGCCAAAAUUUCAGAAUUUUGCAUAGGUCUUCUUUUAUUUUUAAAAUUUCUUCCGUUUACUUUUUUUAGAUUAUUCAUAACGUAUAUUAGAUAAGGUGUACACGGGUUAAAAAUUUGAGAAUUUACGAGAAAUGCCAUUUUUGGUGUAACUCUAUCUAUCUAUUUUCAAAAAUAUAUCAUUUUAAAUAUGAAAAAUUGUAAACUUUUAUAUAAAGUACAUCUAUAUCAUCAUUACUACUGGAAGACACAAUCUAAAUAUUUAUAAUUACUACUGGAAGACACAAUCUAAAUAAAAGAGGCACAAUCGUUGCGUUGAAAGUCGAGAUUCUCUCUCUCUUGCGAAAAGUUUCUCAGAUCUAGUUUUUUUUUCUUUUCCUUUUUUCCAAUCGGUUCUUCAACGUUGCCAUAGUCAAUCAAAGGAGAUCCAAAAGUGAGUAGCUCUUCCUCUCUGUCAGCGGUGGUGUGGUUUCUUCACCGAUGUGGUUGUGGCUUCGGAUUUGCGGUGGUGGUUCUCUGCAGCGUGGAUUCCUGUUUUGAAGACGGCGGGAUGCUUUGGAGAUCUGUUAGGCUCAGCCGUUAUUUCUGUACGCUGCGUCCAUGGCGGAAGCUGGUGAAGGUUUGGUGGGUUUCGCUGUUUGACGAGGAGGUUAACUGUAGAUCUAUAUGGUCUUAGAUGGCUGAGCGGAGUUUCGGGUUCAGCAGGCGGGUAUGAGCCACCGUCAUCUGAAUCCGCCGUCUUUUUGCAUCCUCACGUCCAGAUUGAAGAGGAGUUACUCGGAGAUCCCAUGAAAUCCGGGUAAGGAGGAGAAAUGUUAGGUUUGAGUGUGUCGAAUUGCUAGGUCGGGAUUUGACACCGCGGAACCGUGUCGUCGGAGUGACUAGCUUUCCGGGAGAUCUGUGACGGGUUGGUACGGUGGAGGAAAAGGGAUCAUCGGCGGAAACCGGUCUCUUUCGCCUUUGGUUUUCAAUCCUUCGUCGUGGCCGCAAAGUUGUGGAUCUUGAGUCCGCCGGAUUUAAUGCUCCGGUCACUCUGCCUCCGGCGAUCAGCAGAGCCAGAGUUUUUCUUCCUUCCCCGUAGAUCUAGGGUUUCCUUUGUUUUUGGGUCUCUUUUGUGUAAGGUUUUGGCCCAGCCCAUUUGGGAUGUUUUGGUUUUCAAAAUAUAAAAAAAAAAUAUAUAUAUAUUUAUAAAGUUUGAAGAGGUUAUAAACGACAUUUAUAAGGUUUUUAUAAUGUUUUUAAAAGGUUUACAAAGUUUUUAUAUGAUUUUUAAAUGAUCUUUAAAGAGUAUACGGUGUUUAUGAAAUAGAUAUAUAAAUUUACACAGAUAUAAAGAUAAUUUGUUUCUAUA